RNAcentral lists this ribosomal RNA (363 nucleotides) under Hordeum flexuosum. Lineage: Eukaryota; Viridiplantae; Streptophyta; Magnoliopsida; Poales; Poaceae. The record is from RNAcentral.
UUAUUUUUGAGGUUUUCGGCAAGUUUUAGCUUGCGGGUCAUUAUCCAUGCAUGUAGGGGUGUGGUUGCGGUGGAAAAGUGGUCGGGUAUUGAAAGGGGUCGAAACCGCGGUAAACCUCUAGUUGGUGCGGUAGAGAGGGAGGGGUGGAGACCGUGGUAAACACGACACGUGUACGUUCUUGAGCGGGAGAGUAACUGGUACGGUGCAGUAUUCGUUUUUAGGAAGCGUUGGCAAAGAGUGCUCGAUCGUGUUUGUGGUGGAGCCGGGAGGCGGGAGCAUAUAUAAUGGACGAAGACGGGGGAAACAUGUCGGAUGCGAUCAUACGAGCACUAAAGCACCGGAUCCUCGUGUAAGCGCGGUUCC